UACGAAGGGGGCUAGCGUUGUUCGGAAUUACUGGGCGUAAAGCGUGCGCAGGCGGCUUCUCAAGUCAGGGGUGAAAGCCCAGAGCUCAACUCUGGAAUUGCCUUUGAGACUGAGUGGCUUGAGUACGAGAGAGGUGAGUGGAAUUCCCAGUGUAGAGGUGAAAUUCGUAGAUAUCGGGAGGAACACCAGUGGCGAAGGCGGCGAUCUGGGAAGAUACUGACGCUGAGGUGCGAAAGCGUGGGGAGCAAACAGG
RNAcentral lists this ribosomal RNA (253 nucleotides) under uncultured bacterium. RNAcentral describes it as "partial 16S ribosomal RNA". It matches the Rfam family "Bacterial small subunit ribosomal RNA", at positions 524 to 776 of the family's 1533-position model. The record is from RNAcentral.